Molecule: transfer RNA, 71 nt
Filed under: Obscurella hidalgoi
Lineage: Eukaryota; Metazoa; Mollusca; Gastropoda; Architaenioglossa; Cochlostomatidae
Description: tRNA-Arg
Source: RNAcentral
UUAUAGGAAGCAUUAGAUUGUAUGUGGUUUCGGCCUACAAGGAUGGGGUAUAACAACUACUCCCCUAUUAG